UUCAUAACAGUGAAGAGAUAAGUAUUGAUUUAGCGCUAAAAGAGAGUUUGCGUUUGGUGAGAGUAAACAGCUGAUAAUCAGGAAAAUGGUCUUGGAGUUACUGUGUGGCGAGUACACGCCGGCUCAUUAGCCGAUACGAUAUAAGUCAUGCUCGGGUGAGCCCGUUACAGCGUCAUUGAUUCCUUAAGGGGUAUGUACAGAUAUUUUCGAAUCAUACCCUUGCGAUCAAUAGAGAGGUGUAUUGUUUUUUUUUGCAGAUACAUAAAAACCGGGUGGUAACACGAGAUUUCGUCCCGCAG
This 299-nucleotide non-coding RNA is filed under the name Leuconostoc carnosum. RNAcentral describes it as "T-box". It matches the Rfam family "T-box leader". Rfam says of the family: Uncharged tRNA acts as the effector for transcription antitermination of genes in the T-box leader family. T-boxes are found upstream of many aminoacyl-tRNA synthetase genes and some amino acid biosynthetic genes usually in Gram-positive bacteria. The anticodon of a specific tRNA base pairs to a specifier sequence within the T-box motif, and the NCCA acceptor tail of the tRNA base pairs to a conserved bulge in the T-box antiterminator hairpin. The record is from RNAcentral. Lineage: Bacteria; Bacillati; Bacillota; Bacilli; Lactobacillales; Lactobacillaceae.